Molecule: non-coding RNA, 28 nt
Filed under: Mus musculus (house mouse)
Lineage: Eukaryota; Metazoa; Chordata; Mammalia; Rodentia; Muridae
Source: RNAcentral
AGAACCAGCUAAACUCAGUUCUUCACGC